Non-coding RNA from Mycena latifolia, 90 nucleotides. The record is from the annotation of a GenBank genome assembly. NCBI's taxonomy places the organism in Eukaryota, Fungi, Basidiomycota, Agaricomycetes, Agaricales, Mycenaceae.
GGCCUAAUGGUGUAAUGGAACGCACUCCGACAUGGUAAAGUCGAGCACCGUCAUUCUGGGGGGUCCGGAGUUCAAGUCUCCGUUAGGCCG